GCUCGACUGAUAAGGAGAGGAAUUGCCUCUUUCAGUCAGAGAGACCAGGCUGCCCUCUCCCGGGGGUCGAGCG
This 73-nucleotide transfer RNA is filed under the name Pinus taeda (loblolly pine). RNAcentral's name for it is "tRNA-Thr". The record is from RNAcentral. Lineage: Eukaryota; Viridiplantae; Streptophyta; Pinopsida; Pinales; Pinaceae.